This is a long non-coding RNA of Phyllostomus hastatus (greater spear-nosed bat), 2196 nucleotides long. RefSeq lists it as uncharacterized. The record is from RefSeq and is a predicted model, not a curated record. The transcript has 3 exons. Lineage: Eukaryota; Metazoa; Chordata; Mammalia; Chiroptera; Phyllostomidae.
CAGGUGCAAAGACGGCCCAGCCGGGUCCCCUGCCCGAGUCUCUCUCCCAGAGGAAACAAAGCCCGCUGGCGGGCGAAGGUCUGCGCGGAGUGACACGGAGUCUCCUGACACCUAGACUUCACCCUAUUAAGGAUCUUUAAUUCGAUGUUGCAAGGACUCCUCCGAGGAUGCAGCACAGGAAGGACUAUUUCCGCAGAAUUCCUGGAAGUCUUGGUCUGACUGUAGCACAGCCCUGGGUAAGGGCGCCGUGGCCUGUCUGCACCAGUUAGGGCGCCAGGGACGGACAAUCCAACCUCAAAUAGGUUAAGCAAAGGAAGAAAACAAACAGGAAAUUGCUUAUGUAACCAGGAAGCCAGAAAGUCUGGGGUGCUCGGCAGACACAGGUGGACCCAGGGCCUGAAAUGAUUCCAUCAGGAUGCUCCGUCUCUCCAUUGUGUUUCUUUAGAUGCGCUUCACUCUCAGGAAUUGGCUCACUCUGCGAAGCCAGUCCUUCCAUAGCUGGCAAGGCCUCAGACGUCAAAGCAUCAGAAAUGCAGAAAUUUUAAAAAAUGAAUACACCUCACAACUAGUAGUCACAGUCAAGAGUUUGUGUCUCAGCAUCUUCAGCCCAUGCCCGGGAGAAGCUCUGUUCGGCCCACUUGUGUGAUCCGCUCACCCCCACAUGCCGGCGAGGACGUGGACAGCCUGAACCUCAUGCGCUGUUGAUAGAAACGUGAAAUGGGCCAGACACCCUGAAAACAGGCGAUUUCUCCAAAAACUAAGCAGACACCCUGUGACUCAGCCGUGGCACAUUUAUCCCAGGGAAAAUGGAAGCUUAUGUCCACACACAAUUCUGUACACGAUGUUCAUAACAGUUUAUUUGGAAUAGUCGCCCAAAAGGCAAUUUCAAAAUGUCACGUACUGUGUGAUUCCAUUUAUACAACGUUCUUGAAAUGAAGAAGCCGGAGGGCUGGAGAAGGGACUCCCGGCUGCCAGGGUUGGGGGCGGGGCUAGCAGACGGGGUGCCGGGAGGGCAACUUUGCGGGGCUGGAUUAGUUCCCUCCCUGGAGCGGGGAGACUGUUACUGGUUCGGUACUCCGGACGAAAUGACGUAGCUCUGCAUGCGUUGUGUCAGUGUCGAUUUCCUGGCUCUGACGCUGCACUGCAUUACCAGAGACGUAGUCAUGGGGGAACCCGGUGAAGGGUGCGUGGGACCUCUCUGUCCUGUGUUUGCAACCCCCUGUGAGUCCACAAUUAUUUACAAGUAACAAGUAAACAGAUCUUAAAGGACUCUUAGCUCAGAGGGGAGAUAAAUCUCUGUGUGGGUGCCCUGGCUGUGUUAGGCCAGUGAAUGAUCACAGUUGAGUUGGGGGAAAGGCCGGGUCCUGGCUCUGUUUUUCUGCUGUGUACUAAAUGUCUUUGUCCCUCCCUGCACUCCGGCGGCGCCCAGGACUGCUGGGUGAUGAGCUCUGGAGCUGACUGACCUGCUUACCCUUAGGAGUGAAGAAAUGAAGACCGCAGAUCUUUGGAAACAAGAUUGGUGGCAUUUUAUGUAUUCAACGUGGCAAUCUGGGGAACACUUACGAUGUUCAAGGAGAAAAAAUAGGAGACAAUUUUAUGAGCCCUGUGAUUGUAUUCAUAUAUAAAAUAUCAAACAUACGGAUAAUACAGUGACAUGUGUCAGUUACUUCUCAAUAAAACUGGGGGGAAAGCACCUGGAUUAAAACGGGAAGGGAACAAGCGCAACUGGAUAUACCUACGUUUUCACGGCGGUGAGGUCAGGGCGGGUCAUCCACCUCUGCCUUUUUAACUAGUUAUGAAGUUGUUUGUGGUAUUUUUAUUUAUGUGAAAUUGUGUUUUAUUUUUAUAAUGUAUACUUCGAGAUACAUUCCUCCUACUUUGUCUCUCAGCAACCAUGUCAUUAGCUUCUUGUGCAUCCUCCUUUCAUAUUUCCUUCGUGCAGAUCCAAGCAAGCCUGAGUAAUAUUCUUACGUUCCUCAUUCCACCAUAAAGGUAGCAUUCCAAGUGCACGGUUUCCCUUCCUUUUUUUCCACUUAGCCAUCUUUCCAUAUCCCUGCAUGGGCUUCCCCGCCUGAACAAACAAAGAAAGGGAAAUAAACGAACAAGCACAAGUGUGAAUGACCCCGUUGCCAAAGGAGCAAGCGCAUGAGCAGUCUGCGUCUAGGACGCACCUGGUUGGUCAGAGCAGCCAGGCCU